AAUGAACGCUGGCGGCGUGCCUAACACAUGCAAGUCGCACGAGAAAGUCCCAGCUUGCUGGGGCUAGUAAAGUGGCGCACGGGUGAGUAACGCGUGGGUAAUCUACCUCCGAAUUGGGGAUAACAUUGCGAAAGCGGUGCUAAUACCGAAUGACAUCACCGAGGCUAAGGCCUUGGUGAUCAAAGGUGGCCUCUACAUGUAAGCUAUUGUUUGGAGAUGAGCCCGCGUACCAUUAGCUAGUUGGUAGGGUAAUGGCCUACCAAGGCUACGAUGGUUAGCUGGUCUGAGAGGAUGAUCAGCCACACUGGAACUGACACACGGUCCAGACUCCUACGGGAGGCAG
RNAcentral lists this ribosomal RNA (343 nucleotides) under uncultured Pseudomonadota bacterium. RNAcentral describes it as "bacterial SSU rRNA". It matches the Rfam family "Bacterial small subunit ribosomal RNA", at positions 29 to 351 of the family's 1533-position model. The record is from RNAcentral. Lineage: Bacteria; Pseudomonadati; Pseudomonadota.